UAAAUAUGUAAGUAGUGUGACUCAGGAUAUGCAGAAAAGCCGCAUUUUCAAAUUAAGUCGGAUUGCUAAUUAUUCUUCUUGGUCUUCUGAUUGGCGUCCUGUAUUGCAUACAUAUCCUCGUGAAGGACUACCAAGCCAUAUCUGCUGCCAGGGUCUUUCGGCUGAUAUUCAAACGGGACCUGAACUCUGUGAGACAUAAAAUAAACGUUCGGUGGGGAAGAAUACUCCACUACGAUACAAUUCAAUGUACUCGGUACAUUUUCUGCGAUCUUGGAAUGCGUCCGCCGAACAGCCAACUGCGAGAGGAUUUCAUACAAAUGCUUACACUUGAACCAAAAGAGGAAGACGUAGCUGCGUUGGACAUUUUCAAGAACGCUUACCACGAUGGAAAGCUGGCGGGCGAAACAAAAAAGGCGGAUCGGUGCAGAACUAAAUAUCCUAUGUGCCCGUUUAAGAUCGAAUUUUUGUAUGAAGUUAUCCAAUAUUUAGUACAGUUUCAUUAGAUCCUUUUAGUUAAUAAAAAGAUGCCAAAUAUCUCUGCCAUAAAGUUGAUAAUGAAAUGUUAAUAUUUUCA
RNAcentral lists this unclassified non-coding RNA (574 nucleotides) under Zerene cesonia (dogface butterfly). Its description in RNAcentral is "uncharacterized LOC119834691, transcript variant X3". Lineage: Eukaryota; Metazoa; Arthropoda; Insecta; Lepidoptera; Pieridae. The record is from RNAcentral.